UUGAUCGUUGCUCAGAUUGAACGCUGGCGGCAUGCCUUACACAUGCAAGUCGAACGGCAGCAUGAUCUAGCUUGCUAGAUUGAUGGCGAGUGGCGAACGGGUGAGUAAUACAUCGGAACGUGCCCUGUAGUGGGGGAUAACUAGUCGAAAGAUUAGCUAAUACCGCAUACGACCUGAGGGUGAAAGUGGGGGACCGCAAGGCCUCAUGCUAUAGGAGCGGCCGAUGUCUGAUUAGCUAGUUGGUGGGGUAAAGGCCCACCAAGGCGACGAUCAGUAGCUGGUCUGAGAGGACGAUCAGCCACACUGGGACUGAGACACGGCCCAGACUCCUACGGGAGGCAGCAGUGGGGAAUUUUGGACAAUGGGGGCAACCCUGAUCCAGCAAUGCCGCGUGUGUGAAGAAGGCCUUCGGGUUGUAAAGCACUUUUGUCCGGAAAGAAAUCGCACUUACUAAUAUUAGGUGUGGAUGACGGUACCGGAAAAAUAAGGACCGGCUAACUACGUGCCAGCACCCGCGGUAAUACGUAGGGUCCAAGCGUUAAUCGGAAUUACUGGGCGUAUAGCGUGCCCAGGCGGCUGUCCACGACCGAUGUGAAAUCCCCGGGGCUUACCUUGGGAAUAGCAUUGGUGACUGGCCGGGUACAGUGUGUCA
This 652-nucleotide ribosomal RNA is filed under the name uncultured bacterium. RNAcentral's name for it is "bacterial SSU rRNA". It matches the Rfam family "Bacterial small subunit ribosomal RNA", at positions 13 to 653 of the family's 1533-position model. The record is from RNAcentral.